CCUACGGGUGGCAGCAGUGGGGAAUAUUGCACAAUGGGGGAAACCCUGAUGCAGCGACGCCGCGUGAGUGAUGAAGUAUCUCGGUAUGUAAAGCUCUAUCAGCAGGGAAGAAAAUGACGGUACCUGACUAAGAAGCCCCGGCUAACUACGUGCCAGCAGCCGCGGUAAUACGUAGGGGGCAAGCGUUAUCCGGAUUUACUGGGUGUAAAGGGAGCGUAGACGGCAGUACAAGUCUGGAGUGAAAUCCCGGGGCUUAACCCCGGAACUGCAUUGGAAACUGUGCGGCUGGAGUGUAGGAGGGGUAAGCGGAAUUCCUAGUGUAGCGGUGAAAUGCGUAGAUAUUAGGAGGAACACCGGUGGCGAAGGCGGCUUACUGGACUGUAACUGACGUUGAGGCUCGAAAGCGUGGGGAGCAAACAGGAUUAGAUACCCUAGUAGUC
Molecule: ribosomal RNA, 440 nt
Filed under: uncultured bacterium
Lineage: Bacteria
Description: partial 16S ribosomal RNA
Rfam family: Bacterial small subunit ribosomal RNA
Source: RNAcentral